This 792-nucleotide ribosomal RNA is filed under the name uncultured bacterium. RNAcentral describes it as "bacterial SSU rRNA". It matches the Rfam family "Bacterial small subunit ribosomal RNA", at positions 8 to 796 of the family's 1533-position model. The record is from RNAcentral.
AGAGUUUGAUCAUGGCUCAGAACGAACGCUGGCGGCGUGCUUAACACAUGCAAGUCGCGUGCGCAGUUUCCGUAGCAAUACGGGGAUGGGCGCACGGCGCACGGGUGCGUAACACGUGGGCAAUCUGCCCUCCGAUGGGGAAUACCCCCGCGAAAGCGGGACUAAUUCCGCAUAACAUUCCUUGGAUUAACUUUCGAGGAUUCAAAGCAGCAAUGCGUCGGAGGAGGAGCCCGCGCCCGAUUAGCUAGUUGGUGAGGUAACGGCUCACCAAGGCAAUGAUCGGUAGCUGGUCUGAGAGGAUGGCCAGCCACACUGGAACUGAGACACGGUCCAGACUCCUACGGGAGGCAGCAGUGGGGAAUCUUGCACAAUGGGCGAAAGCCUGAUGCAGCGACGCCGCGUGGGGGAUGAAGCUUUUCGGAGUGUAAACCCCUUUCGACUGGGACGAAUGCCUCGCAAGAGGAGUGACGGUACCAGUAUAAGAAGCCCCGGCUAACUACGUGCCAGCAGCCGCGGUAAGACGUAGGGGGCCAGCGUUGUUCGGAAUUACUGGGUGUAAAGGGUUCGUAGGCGGUGUGGCAAGUCGGGAGUGAAAUCUCUGGGCUCAACCCAGAGACUGCUUCCGAAACUGCUGUGCUUGAGUGUGAGAGAGGCUCGUGGAAUUGCAGGUGUAGCGGUGAAAUGCGUAGAUAUCUGCAGGAACACCCGUGGCGAAAGCGGCGAGCUGGAUCACUACUGACGCUGAGGAACGAAAGCUAGGGGAGCAAACAGGAUUAGAUACCCCAGUAGUCC